UACGUAGGGUGCGAGCGUUAAUCGGAAUUACUGGGCGUAAAGCGUGCGCAGGCGGUGACCCAAGUCAGAUGUGAAAUCCCCGGGCUUAACCUGGGAACUGCGUAUUGAACUAGUGGCUAGAGUAUGGCAGAGGGGGGUAGGAAUUCCACGUGUAGCAGUGAAAUGCGUAGAGAUGUGGAGGAACUACCGAUGGCGAAGGCAGCCCCUGGGUCAACACUGACGCUCAUGCACGAAAGCGUGGGGAGCAAACAGGAUUAG
This 258-nucleotide ribosomal RNA is filed under the name uncultured bacterium. RNAcentral's name for it is "partial 16S ribosomal RNA". It matches the Rfam family "Bacterial small subunit ribosomal RNA", at positions 524 to 781 of the family's 1533-position model. The record is from RNAcentral.